This is a long non-coding RNA of Homo sapiens (human), 481 nucleotides long. Ensembl annotates it as ADGRL3 antisense RNA 1. Its record names the gene ADGRL3-AS1. The record is from Ensembl. NCBI's taxonomy places the organism in Eukaryota, Metazoa, Chordata, Mammalia, Primates, Hominidae.
AGUUCUAUCAAUCCAGCUUCUUCAGGAUGAUGGGGAACAUGGGUCCCACAAUAGGCCAUCUGUAAGCCGAGGAGCAAGGAAGCCAGUUGAAGUCCCAAAGCUGAAGAGCUUGGAGUCCAAUGUUUGAGGGCAUGGAACAUCCAGCACUGGAGAAAGAGCUCCUGAAAUCGUUUGGUGAAGUUUCUGAAAAGUAAUACAGCAGGCAAAUAAAAUCUGCAGGAGACAGCAGAAGGAAAAGCAAUUAUUCUGAAUAAUCUACACAUAAAUUGCUGUAACUUCUCACCUGGAUUCCAGAGCUCUCAUGAAGAAAUAUGAUUUUGUUUGAUAUUUACCACCCCCUUCAAUUUUGAGGAGCGAUUACUUCCAAAUUUACAAUGGAAUGAUAGAAUUAACAAUGUGCUAAAGACUUUCUAAGAUGUGAGAAAUUACCAGCUUUAAGAGGCAUAAAGGCUUUUAGCAAAUUGAGGGAAUUUGAAUUUCU